This 477-nucleotide ribosomal RNA is filed under the name uncultured bacterium. Its description in RNAcentral is "partial 16S ribosomal RNA". It matches the Rfam family "Bacterial small subunit ribosomal RNA", at positions 28 to 507 of the family's 1533-position model. The record is from RNAcentral.
GAUGAACGCUGGCGGCGUGCCUAAUACAUGCAAGUCGAGCGAACAGACGAUGAGCUUGCUCCUCUGACGUUAGCGGCGCACGUGUGAGUAACACGUGGAUAACCUACCUAUAAGACUGGUAUAACUUCGGGAAACCGGAGCUAAUACCGGAUAAUAUAUUGAACCGCAUGGGUCAAUAGUGAAAGACGGUGUUGCCGUCACUUAUGGAUGGAUCUGCGCCUCAUUAGCUAGUUGGUACGGUAACGGCUUACCAAGGCAAGGAGGGGUAGCCGACCUGAGAGGGUGACCGGCGACAUGGGUACUGGGGGACGGCCCAGACGGCUACUGUAGGCAGCGGGGGGGAACAUGGCAGAAUGGGCGGAAGCGUGAUGCAGCAGCGUCGCGUGCGGGAAGACGGCUUUCGGGGGAUAAACAGCUUUCGACUGAAACGAAGCGUGAUUGACGGUAAUGAGUAAAAAAGCACCGGCUAACUACGUG